CCCCCCCCCCCCCGGCAAAUUUGUUACCGAGCAAGCGUGAGCUUCUCCAUCAAUAAAGAGCUGGGAAAUUUUCACUUCACCGAGACCAGCAAGAACCAGUGGAAAGCUGCGAUCCUCGGCAGAGGAAGGGGGACAAGAAAUGCGCAAAGGCGGCGACGCCGCCGCGGAGCCAAGGAAAUGCUGCUCCCAGGGGGCGACGCGGCUUGAUCCAACAAGUUAUGGCGUCAGAUCUCGCGGGCGCGAGGCCCAGACGGUUAGCUCCGAGCUCUCCGCGCCCCGGCCGCCGCUCCCCGGCAGAUCCGACCGCCGCCGCCGCCGGAGAGGGAGGCUAGGAGCAUGCUCCUCCCUCUGCCUAGCUGGCUGGCUGGCUGAUGCUUCUUUCUUUCUUUCUUCUUCUGUUGCAACUUUUUCCCAGCUCAAGAGUUGCAGUGAGAUGUGCUAGCUUCUUCUUCUUGCUCUGGCUUGCUUGCUUCCUCCUCUUGCAGCUUCUUGCUACUUCCAAGUUGUUCUUGGGGUUUUAACCCCACGACUCCACGAGUGGUGACCUCUCUCUCUCUCUCUCAUCAGUUGCUCUCUCUCUCUCUCUCAGCCAGUAAGGUGUUUUGGGUAAAUUUUUUUAUGUAGCUACAGUUAAGUAUUGGAUGGAGUAUAAUUGUACACGGGUGAACAACAUCGUACGAUGUACCCUUUCUACAUGCUUCUUUUUUUGCACACGCUACGCUGAAGAAGAGGGGAAAACAACGUACUGUAGCAUUUUCUAUUUGUCACCGUGUUCACUGGAGCAUCUCCUAUCCUUGGAGCUUUUCUACUCCGUCCCUACAAA
Molecule: long non-coding RNA, 823 nt
Filed under: Oryza brachyantha (malo sina)
Lineage: Eukaryota; Viridiplantae; Streptophyta; Magnoliopsida; Poales; Poaceae
Description: long non-coding RNA (OBRA_LNC001887)
Source: RNAcentral